UACGUAGGAUGCAAGCGUUGUCCGGAAUUAUUGGGCGUAAAGAGCGCGCAGGCGGUGUAUCAAGUCAGAUGUGAAAUGUCCCGGCUUAACCGGGAAGGGUCAUUUGAAACUGGUAGACUAGAGUACAGCAGAGGAUAGCGGAAUUCCCGGUGUAGUGGUGAAAUGCGUAGAUAUCGGGAGGAACACCAGUGGCGAAGGCGGCUAUCUGGGCUGAAACUGACGCUGAGGCGCGAAGGCUAGGGGAGCAAACAGG
This 253-nucleotide ribosomal RNA is filed under the name uncultured bacterium. RNAcentral's name for it is "partial 16S ribosomal RNA". It matches the Rfam family "Bacterial small subunit ribosomal RNA", at positions 524 to 776 of the family's 1533-position model. The record is from RNAcentral.